This 433-nucleotide ribosomal RNA is filed under the name uncultured bacterium. RNAcentral describes it as "partial 16S ribosomal RNA". It matches the Rfam family "Bacterial small subunit ribosomal RNA", at positions 29 to 507 of the family's 1533-position model. The record is from RNAcentral.
AACGAACGCUGGCGGCAUGCCUAACACAUGCAAGUCGAACGAGACCUUCGGGUCUAGUGGCGCACGGGUGCGUAACGCGUGGGAACCUGCCCUUAGGUUCGGAAUAACUCCCCGAAAGGGGUGCUAAUACCGGAUAAUGUCUUCGGACCAAAGAUUUAUCGCCUUUGGAUGGGCCCGCGUUGGAUUAGCUAGUUGGUAGGGUAAAAGCCUACCAAGGCGACGAUCCAUAGCUGGUCUGAGAGGAUGAUCAGCCACACUGGGACUGAGACCCGGCCCAGACUCCUACGGGAGGCAGCAGUGGGGAAUAUUGGACAAUGGGCCAAAGCCUGAUCCAGCAAUGCCGCGUGAGUGAUGAAGGCCUUAGGGUUGUAAAGCUCUUUUACCCGGGAUGAUAAUGACAGUACCGGGAGAAUAAGCUCCGGCUAACUCCGUG